This 116-nucleotide ribosomal RNA is filed under the name uncultured bacterium. RNAcentral describes it as "partial 16S ribosomal RNA". It matches the Rfam family "Bacterial small subunit ribosomal RNA", at positions 1358 to 1482 of the family's 1533-position model. The record is from RNAcentral.
UACGGUGAAUACGUUCCCGGACCUUGUACACACCGCCCGUCAAGCCAUGGAAGCUGGGUGUACCUAAAGUCGAUAACCGUAAGGAGUCGCCUAGGGUAAAACUAGUAACUAGGGCU